This 827-nucleotide long non-coding RNA is filed under the name Mytilus galloprovincialis (Mediterranean mussel). Lineage: Eukaryota; Metazoa; Mollusca; Bivalvia; Mytilida; Mytilidae. The record is from RNAcentral.
GUUGUGUUUUUCUAGGUAUGUUUAUUUGAUAUGGUUUUUUUUUAUUUUCAUAUAUUUCGAAAAUUACGAACCAAAUCUGAAUUUGGACCUGUAAUUAUCUGAAAAAUGUUUGCAUUAGAAAGUCUUUUACGAUUAGGUCCCUGUAGUCCCAAAGGCCAAACAUGUGUUUUUAAUUUUGAAAAGUGAAUCGUUUGCCAGAGAAGAAGUACUGAAUCAGUUACUUCUUUUACUGUUAAGAGAAAACGUUGCUUCUUUAGUUCAGUUGAAAGACGUAAUGAUGGAAUCUGCUAGCAAUUUAUUGAAGAGUAUGUGUCGUUUGUUGAAAUUCCUGAUUUGGUGAAGCAAUUCUAAGUGAAGUAUCUAAUCCACUUUUCCUACCUUCCUUUGGCCAAUCACUCACAACGUACAUCAGUUUGAGAGAAGGUAUGGCAUUGGUUGAAAUGUAUUGAUGAUAAGAAAAGUAAAACAUUCGGUGACCUCGCAGCUGCACUAUUAUAAAAAUAUGACCUAAUGCUUUUCUCUAGCGCACACAGACGCAGACAUUUUUGACAGCUACGACAUAAAAAAAAAAAAAAAUAAAGUCGUCUGCUGAAAAGGAAACGCCACACAAAGACUACAGCUUCCACCAAAGUGUAUCAGAUUAUUGAAGGGAGAAGGAUUCCUGACUGGAAGAAGUUUCUAUCUGUUACCAGCAGACUCUCCCUAGUUUCUUUAGUAGUUUUUUAGUAGCAUGAGCCUUGGCAAAACAAACGUUCGGGAUAGUAGGCUUCAAUUGAAAACAAUAUUUAUCAUUUAUUGCUGAGGUUGAAUGUCACCCGGCAAGUUCG